UACGUAGGGGGCAAGCGUUGUCCGGAUUUAUUGGGCGUAAAGAGCGUGUAGGCGGCUUUACAGGUCCGUUGUGAAAACUGGAGGCUCAACCUUCAGAGGUCGACCGAAACCAUCUGGCUAGAGUCCGGGAGAGGAGAGUGGAAUUCCCGGUGUAGCGGUGAAAUGCGCAGAUAUCGGGAGGAACACCGGUGGCGAAGGCGGUUCUCUGGGCCUUACCUGACGCUGAGGAGCGAAAGCGUGGGGAGCGAACAGG
RNAcentral lists this ribosomal RNA (253 nucleotides) under uncultured bacterium. Its description in RNAcentral is "partial 16S ribosomal RNA". It matches the Rfam family "Bacterial small subunit ribosomal RNA", at positions 524 to 776 of the family's 1533-position model. The record is from RNAcentral.